Molecule: ribosomal RNA, 468 nt
Filed under: uncultured bacterium
Lineage: Bacteria
Description: partial 16S ribosomal RNA
Rfam family: Bacterial small subunit ribosomal RNA
Source: RNAcentral
GACGAACGCUGGCGGCGUGCUUAACACAUGCAAGUCGAACGGAAAGGCCCUGCUUUUGUGGGGUGCUCGAGUGGCGAACGGGUGAGUAACACGUGAGUAACCUGCCCUUGCCUUUGGGAUAACUUCAGGAAACUGGGGCUAAUACCGGAUAGGAGCUCCUGCUGCAUGGUGGGGGUUGGUAAGUUUCGGCGGUUGGGGAUGGACUCGCGGCUUAUCAGCUUGUUGGUGGGGUUGUGGCUUACCUAGGCUUUGACGGGUAGCCGGCCUGAGCGGGUGACCGGCCACGUUGGGACUGAGAUACGGCCCAGACUCCUACGGGAGGCAGCAGUGGGGAAUAUUGCACAAUGGGCGGAAGCCUGAUGCAGCAACGCCGCGUGCGGGAUGACGGCCUUCGGGUUGUAAACCGCUUUCGCCUGUGACGAAGCGUGAGUGACGGUAAUGGGUAAAGAAGCACCGGCUAACUACGUG